Penaeus monodon (black tiger shrimp) is the source of this 101-nucleotide small nuclear RNA. NCBI's taxonomy places the organism in Eukaryota, Metazoa, Arthropoda, Malacostraca, Decapoda, Penaeidae. The record is from RefSeq and is a predicted model, not a curated record.
GUGUUGUACGAAAGGAGAGAAAGUUAGCACUCCUCUUGAUAAGGACGGACAUUGCUUGUUCAUAAAGAAAAUUGGAAAGUAGAAAGACAUUACUAUAUAUU